This 268-nucleotide unclassified non-coding RNA is filed under the name fungal sp. RNAcentral's name for it is "partial internal transcribed spacer region". The stretch from base 1 to 46 matches the Rfam family "Eukaryotic small subunit ribosomal RNA", at positions 1786 to 1831 of the family's 1831-position model. Lineage: Eukaryota; Fungi. The record is from RNAcentral.
AAGUCGUAACAAGGUUUCCGUAGGUGAACCUGCGGAAGGAUCAUUAACAAUUUUACUUGGUUUGAGGCUUGCCUCUUAUCAUUUUAUACACCUGUGAACCGUCUUGUAGGUUUCGGCUGGAUCGCAAGUGAAGGCCGAUUCCAACCAUUACUUUUGCUCGCAGAGGUAGUGGCGUCUAACCCUCACCUUAACAAGUGAUUGUAGUCUUAAUGUUUGGCUUUGAUAUGGGAAUUAAAUACAACUUAUAACAAUGGAUCUCUUGGCUCUU